Molecule: non-coding RNA, 24 nt
Filed under: Drosophila melanogaster (fruit fly)
Lineage: Eukaryota; Metazoa; Arthropoda; Insecta; Diptera; Drosophilidae
Source: RNAcentral
UAAUGAUCACUUCUGAUGUUGCAC